UGAAAUCUGGCCCUCGGGUCCGAGUUGUAAUUUGUAGAGGAUGCUUUUGGUGCGGUGCCUUCCGAGUUCCCUGGAACGGGACGCCAUAGAGGGUGAGAGCCCCGUCUGGUUGGAUGCCAAUCCUCUGUAAAGCUCCUUCGACGAGUCGAGUAGUUUGGGAAUGCUGCUCUAAAUGGGAGGUAUAUGUCUUCUAAAGCUAAAUACCGGCCAGAGACCGAUAGCGCACAAGUAGAGUGAUCGAAAGAUGAAAAGCACUUUGAAAAGAGAGUUAAAAAGUACGUGAAAUUGUUGAAAGGGAAGCGUUUAUGACCAGACUUGGGCUUGGUUAAUCAUCCAGGGUUCUCCCUGGUGCACUUUUCCAGUCCAGGCCAGCAUCAGUUUGCUUCGGGGGAUAAAGGCUUCGGGAAUGUGGCUCCUCUCGGGGAGUGUUAUAGCCCGUUGCGUAAUACCCUGGGGCGGACUGAGGUACGCGCUUCUGCAAGGAU
This 485-nucleotide ribosomal RNA is filed under the name Fusarium decemcellulare. Its description in RNAcentral is "eukaryotic LSU rRNA". It matches the Rfam family "Eukaryotic large subunit ribosomal RNA", at positions 116 to 624 of the family's 3401-position model. The record is from RNAcentral. Lineage: Eukaryota; Fungi; Ascomycota; Sordariomycetes; Hypocreales; Nectriaceae.